UCAAGCGAACAAGGGCGCAGGGCGAAUGCCUUGGCACUGGGAGCCGAUGAAAGACGUGAUAAGCUGCGAUAAGCUUCGGGGAGCUGCAAAUAAGCAUUGAUCCGGAGAUUUCUGAAUGAGGAAACUCACCUGGGUUCAUACUCAGGUACGUUGUACUGAAAUUCAAAAUAGGUACAUCGGGGGAACCGCCUGAACUGAAACAUCUAAGUAGGGCGAGGAAGAGACAUCAAACGAGAUUCCGUAAGUAGUGGCGAGCGAACGCGGAAGAGGGCAAACCGAGAGUAGAAAUACUUUCGGGGUACGGACUGCUUUUAGGACUCAAUCUGUUAACCGAACGGCAUGGGAAGGCCGGUCAGAGAGUGUGAGAACCACGUAGGUGAAAACGGAAAGAGCUGCGCAGAUUCCAGAGUACGGCCAGACACGUGAAACCUGGUCGGAAGAUGGGGGGACCACCCUCCAACCCUAAAUACUACCCAGUGACCGAUAGCGUAUAGUACUGUGAAGGAAAGGUGAAAAGCACCCCGGGAGGGGAGUGAAAAAGAACCUGAAACCCUGUGCCUACAAGCACCUAGAGCACGUCAAUGUGUGAUAGGGUACUUUUUGUAGAACGGUCCGGCGAGCGAUUGUAUGCAGCAAGGUUAAGGACUUAAGGUCUGGAGCCGAAGCGAAAGCGAGUUUGAAAAGGGCGUUAAGUUGCAUAUAAUGGGCCCGAAACCGGGUGACCUACCCAUGGUCAGGUUGAAGUGGAAGUAAAAUUCCAUGGAGGACCGAACCGACCUCCGUUGAAAAGGCGGCGGAUGAACUGUGGGUAGCGGAGAAAUUCCAAUCGAACCCGGAGAUAGCUGGUUCUCCCCGAAAUAGUUUUAGGACUAGCCUCAAGUUAGAUACCUGGAGGUAAAGCACUGAAUAGCCUAGCGGCCGAGAGGUUAGCGAAGCUUAUCAAACUCAGAAUGCCAGAGUAUUGAUGCUUGGGAGUCAGACAGUGUCAGAUAAAUGUCAUUGUCAAAAGGGAAACAGCCCAGAUCUACAGCUAAGGUCCCAAAGUCAGGUUAAGUGGAAAACGAUGUGAAGAUACGCAGACAACCAGGAUGUUGGCUCAGAAGCAGCCACUCAUUCAAAGAGUGCGUAAUAGCUCACUGGUCGAGCGUCUUUGCGCGGAGAAUUUAACGGGGCUAAACCUGACACCGAAGCUUAGGCAAUCCAGCAAUGGAUUGGGUAGGGGAGCGUUGUAUACGCGGAGAAACAGUAGCGUAAGCGGCUGUGGAGUGUAUAGAAGUGAGAAUGCCGGAAUGAGUAGCGCGAAUGCAGUGAGAAUCUGCAUGGCCGAAAGCCUCAGGUUUUUGGAGGAAGGUUCGUCCGCUCCAAGUUAGUCGGGAGCUAAGGUGAGGCCGGAAGGCGUAGCCGAUGCACAGACGGUAGAGAUUCCGUCACCACCAAAAGAGUUAAGCACAGGGACACAUUUGAAGUCUCAGAGCCGGGUGUUGGUUCCGGUAGAGAUCGAGGGAAGUUAGUACCGAAGUCUGGGAUGGAAGAUGGCGAGAAAAGCUGUGUGUAUUUCUGAGGUGCCCGUACCGCAAACCGACACAGGUAGGUAGGAAGAAGAUUCUAAGGCCAACGGGAGAAGGGUUGUUAAGGAACUCGGCAAAUUGACCCCGUAACUUCGGGAGAAGGGGUGCUCCAGAGAUGGAGCCGCAGAGAAUCGGCCCAAGCAACUGUUUACCAAAAACACAGGUUUGUGCUAAAUCGAAAGAUGACGUAUACGAGCUGACGCCUGCCCGGUGCUGGAAGGUUAAGAGGAGAUGUGCAAGCAUUGAAUCGAAGCCCCAGUGAACGGCGGCCGUAACUAUAACGGUCCUAAGGUAGCGAAAUUCCUUGUCAGGUAAGUUCUGACCCGCACGAA
RNAcentral lists this ribosomal RNA (1900 nucleotides) under human gut metagenome. RNAcentral's name for it is "bacterial LSU rRNA". It matches the Rfam family "Bacterial large subunit ribosomal RNA", at positions 3 to 1996 of the family's 2925-position model. The record is from RNAcentral.